CCUACGGGUGGCAGCAGUGAGGAAUAUUGGUCAAUGGGCGCGAGCCUGAACCAGCCAAGUAGCGUGAAGGAUGACUGCCCUACGGGUUGUACACUUCUUUUAUAAAGGAAUAAAGUGAGGCACGUGUGCCUUUUUGUAUGUACUUUAUGAAUAAGGAUCGGCUAACUCCGUGCCAGCAGCCGAGGUAAUACGGAGGAUCCGAGCGUUAUCCGGAUUUAUUGGGUUUAAAGGGAGCGUAGAUGGGUUGUUAAGUCAGUGGGGAAAGUUUGCGGCUCAACCGUAGAAUUGCAGUUGAUACUGGCAGUCUUGAGUACAGUAGAGGUAGGCGGAAUGCGUGGUGUAGCGGUGAAAUGCUUAGAUAUCACGAAGAACUCCGAUUGCGAAGGCAGCUUACCAAACCGCCACUGACAUUGAUGCUCGAAAGCGUGGGUAUCAAACAGGAUUAGAUACCCGGGUAGUC
This 460-nucleotide ribosomal RNA is filed under the name uncultured bacterium. RNAcentral's name for it is "partial 16S ribosomal RNA". It matches the Rfam family "Bacterial small subunit ribosomal RNA", at positions 338 to 795 of the family's 1533-position model. The record is from RNAcentral.